Molecule: non-coding RNA, 71 nt
Organism: Dipodomys ordii (Ord's kangaroo rat)
Lineage: Eukaryota; Metazoa; Chordata; Mammalia; Rodentia; Heteromyidae
Source: Rfam
GGGAAGGUGGCUCAGUGGUAGAGCACUUGCCUUGCAUGCAGAGGCCCUGGGUUCAAUUCCUCAGCACCCCA